CAAAGUGUAGCUUAAACAAAGCGUCUGGCUUACACCCAGAAGAUUUCAUACUCAAUGACCACUUUGA
RNAcentral lists this transfer RNA (67 nucleotides) under Phoca groenlandica (harp seal). Its description in RNAcentral is "tRNA-Val". It matches the Rfam family "tRNA". Rfam says of the family: Transfer RNA (tRNA) molecules are approximately 80 nucleotides in length. Lineage: Eukaryota; Metazoa; Chordata; Mammalia; Carnivora; Phocidae. The record is from RNAcentral.